CAAGAGUCCCCUCCUUUGUAAAGUGAGCCAGAGUAUGACUAAUCCCACACACCCAGGUCCAUCCGGGCGAGACAAAGCCAGGGACCGUGCGCCUCUUCCCAGGCCACAGGAAACCUGGACAGCAGCCUCUGCCAACCUUUGAAGUGUCUGUUUCCUCAGCCCUUCAGGCUCCGGGGAGAGGCUCCACCUUCCACCUCUGUUGCAAUGUGAGAAAACAUGGAAUGGCUUACUGGAGGAUGAGAGGCAUGUGGAGCAGAAAGGAGCCUCUCUGGGAGUGACCGUUCAGAUCAGCUGGCCUCCGUCUGCUUGGCAGCUAAGCAUGGAGAUGUAAGUGAACACAGCCGAGUCUAGAAGACUUCCAGCUGAGCCCAGCCCAAUCUGUCUACAUGCAGAACAGUGAGUUAAAUAAGUGGUGACUUCUUUUUAAGCCACUAUUUUUGGGGUGGUUUGAUAGGUAGUAAGAGCU
This 466-nucleotide long non-coding RNA is filed under the name Mustela putorius furo (domestic ferret). RNAcentral describes it as "lncRNA (ENSMPUG00000023870.1)". The record is from RNAcentral. Lineage: Eukaryota; Metazoa; Chordata; Mammalia; Carnivora; Mustelidae.